UUUUUUUUUUGGCAACUAGUUUAUUAAUAAUUUCAAUUGACGAAGUCUUAAAAAUUAUUUUUUAUGUAUUUAUAUGAAAUGUGAACUAUAUUAAUAAACCUGAAAUAGUCUUAUAAAAUAACUUGUGGUAUUUAAAAUUUUUUUUUUGUUUUUACUCUAGGGAAAGGGGACAGUAUGUGCAUUUUUUAAUAUUAUAUUUAGUUUUUAACAAUAAUCGUACAAAUCUUUUGUAUUAAGUUCGUAUGAUACGUGUCCUUAAAAAUACGCUCGUUUUGUUCAUUAUUAUAAUAUAUUCGUCAUAAUAUUUUUCUUUAUGUAUCGGUACGACCACUUGUCCCUUUUUUAUUAUUCUUACAAGUAAAACUUUUUCUUUAUAAUACUAAAUGUUUCGUUUUUAUUUGAAAAUGAACGAUAUGAUGACAUUAGAGUGCCAAAGAUAGAGCGAGUCAUUAGUCUUCAACGGACCCUAUAUUAGAUGUUGACAAAUAAUUUCGUAACAAUUUUCGGAUAUAGAACAUACAUUUUGAACAAAACAAAUAAAACAAAACCAAAAUUUGAUAUUUCUAACCUUUAAAAUUAUUUUAUCGAUUAUCACUAAUCAGUUAAUGAUAGUGUUGUCAACGAACAAAAAAACAAAAAAAAAUAUCAUAGUAAAUCAAUAAGUUAGGUUAGGUUUUUCUUAGAUUUCAUGAAAACCGCAUAGAAAAUUUAAUAGAAUCUUCAAUUACUACCUUCUGAACAAUAUUUCCAUUCAGAAAAGUUGCUAUGCGAAUACAUCAGAGCAGGAUUUCAAGAAGAAUUUUUGUACGUAGAACAAAAAAAUAAAUAAAAAAUAUCGUUGUGAAUAAAUAAUUUCCACAUUGAAAGCAAAAAUUCAUUUUCUAAAUUCUGAGUGGAUGAGUCUUUUUCUACUACAAAAAUAAUGAAAAAAACACAACUAUUAUCAUUCAAAUUAAUUAAAAGCAUAAUAUAUCAUUAAAAACUAAUACUACAGUUUAGUUAAAGUCAUUAGUAUACAAUAGACAAAUACUAUCCUGAAUCAUGAUAUCAAUACACAGUGCCAGUAAAUUUGUAUUAUAUUAAUUAGCGACACAGAAAACUAGAAAAAUAUAAAAUAAGCUGCGAUAUUCAAAAUUAAAUUAAAAUUUUUAUUUUCUAGAGCCAGAAUCUAGUAAGCAAAAAGGUAAGUGAUUAUUUUUGAUUUAACAAGGUUGUACAGUACUAGAAAGGAAACUAGGUAAUUAAUUAAAACUAUAUACAGGAUGAGUUACUAAGCCUGUUCUUUACGUACAGUUUAAUUUUAUACUAAUUUUUCCAGUUUUUCUACGUUUUUCCCGGUUUAAUUAACGGGAUUAAUUUAAUUAAUUAAAAAUUACCUUUCUAAUCAUUGAAAAUUGGAGCCAAAUUGUUUGUAGAAAGUUAUCUA
This is a non-coding RNA of Cinara cedri, 1426 nucleotides long. NCBI's taxonomy places the organism in Eukaryota, Metazoa, Arthropoda, Insecta, Hemiptera, Aphididae. The record is from the annotation of a GenBank genome assembly.